This 485-nucleotide ribosomal RNA is filed under the name uncultured bacterium. RNAcentral's name for it is "bacterial SSU rRNA". It matches the Rfam family "Bacterial small subunit ribosomal RNA", at positions 794 to 1273 of the family's 1533-position model. The record is from RNAcentral.
UCCACGCUGUAAACGAUGUAUACUAGAUGUCAGACUCGAUCAAAAGAGAUUGGUGUCGAAGCUAACGCGAUAAGUAUACCGCCUGGGGAGUACGGUCGCAAGAUUAAAACUCAAAGGAAUUGACGGGGGCCCGCACAAGCGGUGGAGCAUGUGGUUUAAUUCGAUGCAACGCGCAGAACCUUACCCGGUCUUGACAUCCUCUGGACGGAACCUAGAGAUAGGAUCUUCUUCUUCGGAAGCUGGAGUGACAGGUGCUGCAUGGCUGUCGUCAGCUCGUGUUGUGAGAUGUUGGGUUAAGUCCCGCAACGAGCGCAACCCUUGUCGUUAGUUGCCAUCAUUAAGUUGGGCACUCUAGCGAGACUGCCGAGGUUAACUCGGAGGAAGGCGGGGAUGACGUCAAGUCCUCAUGGCCCUUAUGACCGGGGCUACACACGUGCUACAAUGGUAGGGACAGAGUGAAGCUAAGCAGCGAUGCCAUGCAAAUC